This 68-nucleotide transfer RNA is filed under the name Marmota monax (woodchuck). RNAcentral describes it as "tRNA.Ala". Lineage: Eukaryota; Metazoa; Chordata; Mammalia; Rodentia; Sciuridae. The record is from RNAcentral.
GGAUUGUGGCUCAGAGGUAGAGUGCUCGCCGAGCAUGCGAGAGGCACUGUGUUCGAUCCUCAGCACCA